Molecule: ribosomal RNA, 253 nt
Filed under: uncultured bacterium
Lineage: Bacteria
Description: partial 16S ribosomal RNA
Rfam family: Bacterial small subunit ribosomal RNA
Source: RNAcentral
GACGUAGGGCGCGAGCGUUGUCCGGAUUUAUUGGGCGUAAAGAGCUCGUAGGCGGCUUGUCGCGUCGUCCGUGAAAACCUGGGGCUCAACCCCAGGCUUGCGGUCGAUACGGGCAGGCUCGAGUUCGGUAGGGGAGACUGGAAUUCCUGGUGUAGCGGUGAAAUGCGCAGAUAUCGGGAGGAACACCAGUGGCGAAGGCGGUUGCCUGGAGCUUUGCUGACGCUGAGGCGCGAAAGCGUGGGGAGCGAUCCGG